AGUGAACGCUGGCGGUAGGCCUAACACAUGCAAGUCGAACGGCAGCACAGUAAGAGCUUGCUCUUACGGGUGGCGAGUGGCGGACGGGUGAGGAAUACAUCGGAAUCUACUUUUUCGUGGGGGAUAACGUAGGGAAACUUACGCUAAUACCGCAUACGACCUACGGGUGAAAGCAGGGGAUCUUCGGACCUUGCGCGAUUGAAUGAGCCGAUGUCGGAUUAGCUAGUUGGCGGGGUAAAGGCCCACCAAGGCGACGAUCCGUAGCUGGUCUGAGAGGAUGAUCAACCACACUGGAACUGAGACACGGUCCAGACUCCUACGGGAGGCAGCAGUGGGGAAUAUUGGACAAUGGGUGCAAGCCUGAUCCAGCCAUACCGCGUGGGUGAAGAAGGCCUUCGGGUUGUAAAGCCCUUUUGUUGGGAAAGAAAAGCAGCAGGUUAAUACCCCGCUGUUCUGACGGUACCCAAAGAAUAAGCACCGGCUAACUUCGUG
This 492-nucleotide ribosomal RNA is filed under the name uncultured bacterium. RNAcentral describes it as "partial 16S ribosomal RNA". It matches the Rfam family "Bacterial small subunit ribosomal RNA", at positions 29 to 507 of the family's 1533-position model. The record is from RNAcentral.